AUUGAAAGCUAGCGGGAUGCUUUACACAUGAAAGUCGAACGAGUGGCGGACGGGUGAGUAGUAUAUAGGAACGUGCCCAGUAGCGGGGGAUAAAUACUCGACAGCGUGGCUAAUACCGCAUACUAUGGGAGCGGCCGAUAUCGGAUUAGCUAGUUGGUGGGGUAAAGGCUCACAAAGGCAACGAUCCGUAGCUGGGUUGAGAGGACGACCAGCCACACUGGGACUGAGACACGGCCCAGACUCCUACGGGAGGCAGCAGUGGGGAAUUUUGGACAAUGGGGGAAACCCUGAUCCAGCCAUCCCGCGUGUAUGAGAAGGCCUUCGGGUUGUAAAGUACUUUUGGCAGAGAAGCGGUAUCUGCAGAAUAAGCACCGGCUAACUACGUGCCAGCAGCCGCGGUAAUUC
RNAcentral lists this ribosomal RNA (405 nucleotides) under uncultured bacterium. Its description in RNAcentral is "partial 16S ribosomal RNA". It matches the Rfam family "Bacterial small subunit ribosomal RNA", at positions 30 to 526 of the family's 1533-position model. The record is from RNAcentral.